AAAAUAGCAAAUGGAUACCGAAGAAAUGAAAAUAUGUCUACUUAAAUUUAAUUUGGGAAAUAAUUUUUUAUUUAUAAAAUGUUGAAAAAUUAUUUGGCCUUUAUAUGAUACGCUAAUUAUCUUUCGUGCAUCGCAUGGGUCACAACGCUUGUAGAAAUAUAUGUAGGCGUAUUUAAAUGUGUGAAAAGUGCCCUGGAGUCUAUUGUUUUUUGUUUUUGCUUUUCCUAAAAAAUGUAGGAGUCCAGCUUUUUGGCAGUAUGUGCUCCUUAACCACCUCCCAAUCGGCUCUGAUAACAUGACUGGAAUAUGAUGGUGGGUCUUUUUUGUUUUCAAAUGUACCUGCUUUGUAGGGUAUCUUGUCAUGUGUCUGUAUCAGGCAUGAAUAAAACCCUUUAUGUAUUCAUGUCGUGUGUCUGCACUAGAGAUUAAGAAAACCAUAUUGCUCCAAUUUUGGAGUACACAAUUGUCUAAUAAGAUUUGUUUUAGGUGAUGGCCAUCAUUGCAGAUUUCAUGCUUGUUUGGCUUCCUGCUCCUACAGUUUCUCUUUGACCAUCUCUUGCUGUCAGUGCUGGAUCUCUUGCUAAGUUCUUCUAUGGCUGCCCUGACAAUGCUUUUUAGGUUGCCUUGGCCGGUACAUCCUAUUCGUUUCUACAGAGAGUAGGGGCCAUCGUGGUAUGGUUUUGAAUUGUUUGACAAUUACAAAUGUCACUUUUAUUUUGGAAGUGAAUCAAGUGAUAGACUUACAGUAUCUUGAUCUAUACUAUUUCGUAACGGGCCAAGCUAUUUGCAGUUGGGACCGGUGCUUCUUUGGUUGGUACUGGAAUAACAAAUGGUUUGAUUAAUGCUCGAGAGGCAAUUGAUAAAACUUUUGCUGGUGAGGCAGAGGACGUACCGAUAUUGUUAACCAGUGUUGCCUAUGGUGUCUAUAUGGCAGUUUCUAGCAACCUUCGGUAUGUGGAUGCUUUGAUAUCGUUGUUGUGUCCCUCUAAUGAUAUUUCAUUUAUCUAGAUUUCUUCUCAAUUACACGUGAUUGUUUUCUUGAUUGCUAAGGUUGUGGUUUAAGUCAACUUCUUAAAGUCCCUUAUUCAACAUAGUAUGCUGUACAUUUUUCCUACCAAAGUCCUGUAGAUUGUGAUGGACUUCUGUGUGGAGUACUAUAUCACUAAGAAUUACUUACUGAAUGUGUCCGACGAAAAUAAUUUUUACCGAUUUUCCGUCGUCACGGGCUCUUGCCUAUUGGAUUUUCUUGACUUAAUCUACUAGAAUAUGAUUAGUAUAAGAAAAAUGUAGAAUUGUUAGGACAAAAAACCAUAAAGAAUUCUAAAGAAGCUGAGGGUCAUAUAGUAGUUUUAAGGGUGAUGACCACUGUGGGACAAGCUCUAACAUUCCUCCACACGCGGGAUUCUUUGCUGGCUUGUUGAGAGGUAUACAGAGGAUUCAUAACAAAGGGAUCACAAUGAAACAAGGUGUACUUAUGGCUCAAACAAUGGGAGAAAUCAUUUAAGAGAGCCUUGUCCAAAAUCCUCCAAAAGCCUAGCUUUGAGAAUAUGUUAAAGCAUCCAACUGAAAAUAAAUUGGGAAUAAAUGGAGAGGCUGCUCAUGCUCACAUACUAAUUGUGGUGGUGAUAAUUUUUCAACGUGGGACAAGCUCGAAGAGUUACAACAACUACUUGCCCAUUCAAAAACAACCAAAUUGUCUCCUUUGGACCAAAGCAUUUGAUUACCAUGAUUUCCCGCCUCCAAUUUGGUUAUCCCCUUCCCUCCCCCAUUUAAAAUUAAACUUUAUUUUGGUGCCAUAAAUGGCAUGGGGAGGAAACUAUGGAAGCCUCGUUUCCAUUUGUUUUUAGGUUGGCUAUGGAAGUAGGGAACCUUGGUGGAUGAUUACUUUUGGAAUGAUGGAAAGGCGUCGUUUACAGAUAUUGCUUUAAGGAGGGGUAUAUAAGAGAAUUUAGUUUUGUUCACCCUCCUUAAAAGAGGGUG
Long non-coding RNA from Rhododendron vialii, 1980 nucleotides. RefSeq lists it as uncharacterized. The record is from RefSeq and is a predicted model, not a curated record. The transcript has 4 exons. NCBI's taxonomy places the organism in Eukaryota, Viridiplantae, Streptophyta, Magnoliopsida, Ericales, Ericaceae.